Molecule: transfer RNA, 64 nt
Filed under: Helopeltis sp.
Lineage: Eukaryota; Metazoa; Arthropoda; Insecta; Hemiptera; Miridae
Description: tRNA-Trp
Source: RNAcentral
AAAGCUUUAAGUUAAAAAAACUAUUAACCUUCAAAGUUAAAUAUAUAAAUUAUUAUAAGCUUUA